AGUGUACAGCAGAAUGAGCCUCCUGUCACCAGCCCAGAGCUCUCAGACAGAAUUGAGUUCCUGUACAGUAGGACUUUCCACUCAUGUCUGUGGUCUAGGAGGAGAUUGGGUUGGGCAAACACCAGGCACGAUGGAGCAACCAUUAACCCUGGAGUUGUGAAGACAGGACCACAAGCUGAGAGAGGGCAGCAAUGGAAACCCAGCCAAACUAUUAAUGGAAGGCUGGGUCCCAUUCUUUAUUAUCCUUCUGUGGUCUCGUCACCAGCAGGGUGAGCCAAAGCCGAGGGCAAGAACACGCUGGGUGACCUUCCACACCCCAAAUGCAAGAUCAAGUGCUGUGGAGAAGGAGAUAACAAGUUUUUAAUGUAAUAAAGAUCAACGUAUCAGUUAUUCUUUUUAUGGAUUAUGCCUUUGAUGUUGUAUCUGUAGAGUCAUCUUCAAACUGGAGAGCUGAAACCUAAUAUUUCUGGAGGCUGGAAGUCUGAGAUCCACAUGCUCCCAAAGGACCCACUUCCUAAAAUCAUUACUUUGGAGUCUAGGAUCUCAACAUAUGAACUUUGGGGGAUGGGGACAGAAACAUUCGGUCCAUUGCAGAGGAAGAGCCUGUGUUAAUAUGAAAGAGUCAGAAAAACUUCUUUGAAAAGCCAAUCCUUUGCUUUCUGAGGGUGAGUGAAGAUUAAGCAGAAGGAGCAGUUUAAGGCAGCAGGAAAUGCUAGGGUGAAGACUCUUGAAGGAAAAAAUGAAGGCCAGUCAGUGUGGCUGGAGUGAAAAAAUCCAGGAAGAUACUGCACAAGUUGACGCUAGUGAGGAGGCAUGGCCAUGGUGAGGGUUUUGGCCUUUAUUGUAAGGAUGAAGGGAAGACACUGAGAGGUUUAAGAAGGGGCAGAAUGGAACAGACAACAGGACUGUCAGGGAACAUCCAUUUUAACAAUAUCACCUUGCUGCCAUGUGGAGAAUUGAUUGAAAGAGGGCCACGGUGUGUGGGAGACUCACUGCGAGCACCUCACAUUAAUCCAGACAUGAUGGCAGCUUGAACUAGGAUAUUAGCUGAAGAAAGGGAGAAAAAUAGAUGACUUGAGUGAUGUAGAGAUAUAAAGGCCAUAGGAGCUGGUGAUUGAUUUCAUAUGAGCAGUGUGGCAUCACAGGCAUCUUCCAGGUUUAUGGCUGGAGCUCUGGAUGGACUGUGGUGCUGUUGAAGCCAGAACCAGACCACGUUUGUGGGAAAGACAAUAAAUCGAGCCAAUUAGGAUGGGGAGGGGUGUUCAAUAGUGCAGAGACAAACCUUGAUUGAGGAAAAUAUGAGAAGGCUACAUUUAGGAGGCAGGAUUUGAACCAGGCCUUCAAUACAUCCAGAAAUCAGAGCCAGGCAUAGUGGGGAAAUUGCAGGGGAAGUGAGGUUCCCAACAGAGGGAGCACCCAGAGCCUUAUGGGGGAUCUUGGCA
Molecule: long non-coding RNA, 1442 nt
Filed under: Homo sapiens (human)
Lineage: Eukaryota; Metazoa; Chordata; Mammalia; Primates; Hominidae
Description: non-protein coding lnc-VRK1-10:1
Source: RNAcentral